Long non-coding RNA from Solanum lycopersicum (tomato), 544 nucleotides. RefSeq lists it as uncharacterized. NCBI's taxonomy places the organism in Eukaryota, Viridiplantae, Streptophyta, Magnoliopsida, Solanales, Solanaceae. The record is from RefSeq and is a predicted model, not a curated record.
CUUGAAAUGGUAAAGAAACUACUAUUAAAUGUUCUUAAUAUGUUGGGUGUUUUCUUUAUUUACAGGGAAUAAAUAAAUCUGCUCUUUGACAUUAUUGAAAUUACCUAAUGCAGGAAAGAGCAAAAUAUAGUUCAGGACUAAAGGCAUAUAUUGGAGCAUGUCAAUUUAUCUGAUCUUGAUGGUUUUGGUUCUACUGCUUAAGAUGUGGGCCACUUUGUAGUCAAUUAUCGUCUUGUACAAAACACGCAAGGACCAUGACAACAUCCAGUUGAAAUCAAUUUCAAUGAAGUCUCACGUAAACUUCAUAUGGGACACUGAAGGAGGCUCUAUAAAGAGUAAUUGAGGCGUGAAAAAGUUUAUUCCUCACACUUUCUCCACUACUUGCCCCUCUUCUUCUACUUCAUUCAUUGAUUUCAGAUAAUAUCUCGUUUAGAUUUGUCCUUAAUCUAUAAUUUCCUCCAGCUAGCCUUUAUAUAUUCCUGCUUGUGUUUAAUUUUGGUCAUUAAUAACCUUAUUCUUGCUACUUCAGAUAUAAAUUAAUUGG